Molecule: ribosomal RNA, 200 nt
Filed under: uncultured organism
Description: partial small subunit ribosomal RNA
Rfam family: Bacterial small subunit ribosomal RNA
Source: RNAcentral
AAGUCAAGUCAGCACGGCCCUUACGUCUUGGGCUACUCGCACGCUACAAUGGCCGGUACAGCAGGUUGCCAAGGAGCGAUCCGGAGCUAAUCCCCAAAGCCGGCCUCAGUUCAGAUUGCAGGCUGAAACUCGCCUGCAUGAAGGCGGAGUUGCUAGUAACCGCUGGUCAGCACACAGCGGUGAAUACGUUCCCGGGCCUU